Molecule: transfer RNA, 73 nt
Filed under: Ailuropoda melanoleuca (giant panda)
Lineage: Eukaryota; Metazoa; Chordata; Mammalia; Carnivora; Ursidae
Rfam family: tRNA
About the family: Transfer RNA (tRNA) molecules are approximately 80 nucleotides in length. Their secondary structure includes four short double-helical elements and three loops (D, anti-codon, and T loops). Further hydrogen bonds mediate the characteristic L-shaped molecular structure. tRNAs have two regions of fundamental functional importance: the anti-codon, which is responsible for specific mRNA codon recognition, and the 3' end, to which the tRNAs corresponding amino acid is attached (by aminoacyl-tRNA synthetases). tRNAs cope with the degeneracy of the genetic code in two manners: having more than one tRNA (with a specific anti-codon) for a particular amino acid; and 'wobble' base-pairing, i.e. permitting non-standard base-pairing at the 3rd anti-codon position.
Source: Rfam by way of RNAcentral
ACCUGUCUGGCUCAAUCAGUAGAGCAUGUGACUCUUGAUCUCAGGGUUUUAAGUUCGAGCCCCAUGUUGGGUA